GCGGACGUGGCGGAAUUGGUAGACGCGCUAGACUUAGGAUCUAGUGCCAAACGGCGUGGGGGUUCGAGUCCCUUCGUCCGCA
This 82-nucleotide transfer RNA is filed under the name Draconibacterium sp. RNAcentral's name for it is "tRNA-Leu". It matches the Rfam family "tRNA". Rfam says of the family: Transfer RNA (tRNA) molecules are approximately 80 nucleotides in length. Their secondary structure includes four short double-helical elements and three loops (D, anti-codon, and T loops). RNAcentral also lists the same sequence under 1 other name. Lineage: Bacteria; Pseudomonadati; Bacteroidota; Bacteroidia; Marinilabiliales; Prolixibacteraceae. The record is from RNAcentral.